GGGGUCCAUCCGAGCACCGGCAGCAGCACAACUUGGCAGCCGGCACAGCCCCGGGCAGGAAGCUCCUGCAGGGGGACUCCGCGGAGGCCUGGGGCCAGGACUCCAGUGAGCCCAACCUGGUGUUUUCCAGUGUUUUCAGGAGGCAUUCAUUCUCAGGGGCCCACCUGGGCUUGUGGAAGCCCGAGAGUGUGUAUCUCCUUGAAUUUUGCACCCUGGAUGCCUUCCUUGCUCACCCUGGACCCAGCCCUGCCCUGCUUUUGAGCAAUUUGUAUUCUUGGUUUAACAAAGUGUGGAGAGGACCCUCAAGGAUCUCAGAACCUACUGGAUGAGGCAGGAAAAUAAAAAGACACAGAGUGUGCUGUGUGAUCAGCAGAGAUGAAGAAAGCUUCCUUAGUGAAGGAGGAGAAUUACAGAGCAGCGCCAGCGUUGGGGAAACAUGCUCAACUUCCAGCAGUCAUUCCCGCUCGCCUCCUUUCUCUUUGCUCGAGGUCUUCGGUUCAGGCUCCACAACUGAUUGAUGCUGUUUUCCUGUUAGUAUCUCUUUUUCAUCAUGCACGAUCCUCCAUAGUGAUGGAAUGGAGACAGCUUCUCAGAGAAAGCACAGCUUUGGAAGCUUCAGCCAGACACCGUACAAGGGACAGGGGAGACUGAGAUGAAGAACACUCGGUGCUUCUUCCCAAGGCACUCGCAAUCUCGGAGAAGACAGAUGUGUACUCACACAGAUGCAUAUGCUACAGCACUGUGUGAUGAUGCUAUACAUGCACAAAGUGACCGGGAACAGAGCGGCCGUCCCUGGCGACUCAGGGGAGGCAUCACACGAGAGAUGACUUUAGAACCGGGCCUUUAAAGGAAACACAGGAUCUCUGCAGCAGUCAAGAAGGGGAAGAGAAGACUUGGUGUUAAAAAAUCAUGGGUUCAGGACAUACUGCCCCACAAUAUGGCACUUUGGCAUGUUGAAUAUUUUAAGCUAGAGGAAUUUGAGAAAACAGCAGAAGCAGGAAGGUCCCCUGAGGCGGUCCCCUGAAGUGGUCAUAAACUUUGGGAAGGACUCUGACCUUCUGAAGCAGGUCAUAAGACCCUCGUGUGAGAGUUGCCCUUCCUGUAGCUGGAGGAAAGGGGCAUCCUUAUCUCUCAAGACAAAAGGAGACAGAGAGGAAUCCAGAAAAACAAGCCUUGCUAAGCUUCCCCAGUUCACCACACUUACAUUGUACUCUCUGCCCUGUGAUAUUUCUCCAUGACUUUCCCCUCCUUAUCAAACCUAUUAUUAAAAACACUCCCAUUUAACUGUUUCUUCAGAUCCUCAUUUCCUUAUGAAGGCUCUCUCGUCACAUAAAACUUGUAUUAAAUAAAUUUGUAAGC
RNAcentral lists this long non-coding RNA (1359 nucleotides) under Homo sapiens (human). RNAcentral's name for it is "novel transcript". Lineage: Eukaryota; Metazoa; Chordata; Mammalia; Primates; Hominidae. The record is from RNAcentral.